GGAGCCUGGAAGCCCAAGGUCAAAGUGUCAGCAAGGGUGGUUUCUCCAACACCUCUCUCCUUGGCUUGCAGACACCUUCUUUCUGGUUCUCAAAGUGCAUGGCUUUUCCUCUGUGCAUACUUUUCUAAUGGCGUGUUUUAUUGUUGUUUGAUUGGGCUAAAUGGCUAUAUUAGAGAAAGCCAGGAUUACAAAGGAUUUGGGAGUUGACAUCUGGGCCUUUCUUUUUCCCAAAGAGGAGACCAUUCUUCCGAAGGUUUUCGGAUUUGCCUAGUCGUGUAGCAGAAAGAACUCAGAUGUGCCUAUUUGAGUCCCGUCCAGCGUCUCCCAGCCUCCCUCUCCAUUCUUCAUCAAUAUCCACUCCAUCCCCUUUUCUGCCCUCCAGUCCACUUCUCUGUCUUCCCACCCUCCUGCUACCUCCUGCCUGGAUCAUCCCUGUGGGACAAUUAACGUGGACAGAGGAGCAUCAGGAGUAACCACAAGCCGAUGCUGAAUGACAAGUAUAAACUCCACCUAUCUGUACAGUGUGUUUCUGAGAAAAGUGUACUAAACAGUCAAGUCAAAUGUGUUUAAGACAUAACAUGAGCUGAUGGAAGGGGCAUGAGACGCUUAUGACAAAGUCUUGGCUCAGAGGGUUCUUCAGAGAAGCAGUUGAUUCUAGGGCUGGGGUAGGCAGAAUGUAAUUGAGCCUGGAAAAUUGUGUGUCAGAAAAUAAAGAAG
This is a long non-coding RNA of Bos taurus (domestic cattle), 717 nucleotides long. The record is from Ensembl. Lineage: Eukaryota; Metazoa; Chordata; Mammalia; Artiodactyla; Bovidae.